GUCCCCUGCCUCCGGGUGGCCCUGCCCCUCCCUGGGCCGUGUCACCGUGCAGCUCCUCCCGUCGAGAGAUGGAAUCUGCUUCCCCAGCCCCCAAACUGGACCCCGCAGCUCGCGGUGGCCGGUCAAACGCAGCCAGGCGAGCGUGUCCGGGUUCCCAGACAACGCCUUCAGGGCCUCUGAGGGUUUCUCUUCUCGCUCUGGCUUCUCUGCCUCCUCUGCAAGAACAUGCCCGGGCCGGCCCGCGGCGGGGUGCGGGAUGCGAGGGAAAGGUCGAGAAGAACUGAGUCAUCCCGGCUGGAGUCAUCCUCGACCAGCCAGCCUCUCGAGGGCCCGCCAGACGACGGCAGCUUCAUGAGCGAGCUCCGCCGGGGUCCACAGAGCCUGGCCCGGAUUAGCAGAACUGUCCAGAGGACCCAAAGAGACGUUUCUCUUCUGGCCAAGCCUAACCCGGAACCACGGAUGGAAGGGCACUCUGAGACACGAGGCCCUGUCUCAGCUACGUUGUCACAAGGUGCAGCCAUUGCGGGCGCAGAGGGACGUCUUUGUCCAUCAGAUGGCGGCCCUGCCCCGCGUGUGGCCCUCAGUGGGGUCCAGCGACUUCACGAGCCUCGAGCUCCCUACUGGGGCACCGGGCUCUGCGAUGUCUGCCCCCUGACCUCAGCCAGGACCUCCUCGCCCGUCCCGGUCGCACUGCUCCUCCUCGAGCUCCUCAGGCCUCCAUGGGGCACCCUGGCCCUUGGACUUCAGUGCCCUUGGCCUGGGGUCCCCGCUCCAGGCCUCGGCCUCCAUGGCCCUGCCUCCCCCUGGAACAUUUCCCUCCCUUUCUUGUGCGUCUCCCGCACGAGGACGUCCCCUCCUCGAGGCCCCUCAGCAGGCAUCCCGGCUCGGAGCAGGCAUUCUGCCCGUGGUAACCCUCUGCCUGCAGGAGCCUUCGAGUCGGAAGAGACGGGCCGUCCGGAGGAUGCUGGCGGGAGGUGCGCCCGUCCUGCAACAGGAGGAUGAGGCCGACCCAGACGUGUGAGUGGCCGGGGAGGCCAGUCCCAGCCUGAGUCUUUGUUCUCUGUUAUUUUAUGUCUUUUUUAAAUCUCUCCAACGAUCGUGAAGUCAGUUUAGGGCUUCUUAGUCUGUUCCAGCUGCUGCAGCAAAAAUGCCAUAAACUGAGCGGCUUGUAAACAGUAAACACAUAUUUCUCACUGUUCUGGAGGACGGGAGGUCCGAGAUCAGGGUGCAGGCAGGCUCGGUGUCUGGUGAGGGCCCGCUUCCUCACAGACAGUUGUUUUUGCACGAUAAUCUCACAUGGCAGGGGGACGGGGAGGGUCUCUCUCUCUCUUUUUUUUUUUUUUUGCUGAGGAAGAUUGGCCCUGAGCUAACUUCUGUUGCCAAUCCUCCUCUUUUUUUGCUUGAGGAAGAUUGUUGCUGAGCUAACAUCUGUGCCCAUCUUCCUCUACUUUGUAUGUGGGAUGCCGCCACAGCAUGGCUGAUGAGCGGAGCAGGACCACUCUGGGAUCUGAACCCACAAACCCUGGGCCGCGGAAGCAAAAUGUGCAAACUUCACCACUCUGCCACCAGGCUGGCCCCUUUACACAUUUUUAACAGCACGGCGGUGGUGUUCCUUGUCAAGGCAAGCAGCACGUGAUCUCCUUCUAGUGCAAUAUGCCUGGCAGCCCCGUCUCCUCUGUCCCCAUUUGUCUAAUCAUGCGAGCUCCCAGAUACACCCCCCCGUACCGGCCCUGGGAGGGAGAAGAAAGCACAGGCCCAGGAGUCGGGAGAGCUGCAUCUGGCUCUGUUUCUGCCACUGACUUGCUGUGUGACUUUGGGCAAGCCCCUGGCCCUCUCUGGGCCUCAAUUUCCAGAUCUGUGCACAUUGAGAGGAUUGGACUGGAGGACGUCUCUGGGCCUUUCCAGUCCUACAUCCUGUUCCAUUCUUUCCUAAAUUGAGAAAAUUAAAACCCUCCCUGAGGACGCCAAAGGCCUCCUGGAGCCAUCGCCCAUGCCAGCCCCCUCCCCAGAAGGAACCGCCAUCUCUCCGGGGUCCCCAUGUGCAUGCAUCUCCUGACCCCCUAACUCCUUCCCCCCCAUCCGCCCCCACCCCACAGGCCAGACCAUGAAGAGCAUCUUCAGUCGUCAUGGUGACAGAUACUGCUGGCUGCCCACCCAAUGGUCAUCACCUCCCCUUCCCUCACCUUGCCUUGGCUAAUAGAUCCCCAGUUUGGUUUUGGGUGGUGACAUGGCCCAUCCUGGGGCACUGAUCAUAAUUGCCCAAGCCAAUUGAUCUGUCCCAUCCCUCUUGUCAGUUACACGCUUGUUUGGCUAUGUGACAUCCCCCACCCACCCGCCACCUCCCUGCUCCAGCCAAGACUGCUUGGAGGAUUUCUGAAGAAAGUCAGUCAAUUAUCUCCUGCCACAGGAAUGCUGUGUAAGACGCAACCACCGAACCUUGGUGGAGGAUAAGAGUGAGCGUUUCCUGCUCGUGCCCCUGGAGUGAGCCGGGGGCGGGCUCAGUGGCUCUGCGGGUCUUGGCGGGGCUCGCUCGCAGGUCUGGCGAGUGGAGGUGUUGAGUGAGGGAGACUGGGCCUGGGCCGCUAGAGCAGCUCGACGGCUCCACGCGCCUCUCUCGCCCGCCUGCAAGCCAGCCCAGCCUCACAAGCCCAACUCAAGCUUCUGCUGGUGUCACGUCUCCUGAUGCCCCACCGGCCAGGGCUGAGCCCAGAGCCAGAGUAGGAGGGCGCCACCAAGUUUCAAGGCCAAGGCAUGGAUCCAGGGAAAAGAGGAGAACAGGGCAGUGUUUGCAAUCUACCAGAGAAACUCUUUCUGGAUAAAAAUAUCGAGACUCUAAGAAGAAAGGCUUUUGCUAUUGCUUUCUACCUUUCCCACUUGGGACAAUGGAGCAGAUACGUGAUGGUUGGAGCUGCAGCAGCCAUCUUGUGACCAUGAGGCAACAAGCAUGAGGAUCAAAAACAUGAGUACUCUGAGAACAGCAGAGCAGAAGGAUAUGAAAGCCUGAUGAUGUGGCUGAGCUGUGGAACCAUCCCUGGCCACCUACCUCCAGUCAUUGUUGGUUGAGUGUUAUUUUUUCCUGUAGCCAAACUCAUCCUAACAGAUAUCGCUUGAUUCUAGGGCUGCUGAGCAUGCCCUUUUUCAAGAAAUGCCUAUCUCUAUCCCAGCCUCUACCUCAGUGCUUGACAUUUGUAUUUUCCAAAUCUAGCCACAAAACAUGUCCCACUCCACAUGCUCUUUUUUUUUUUUUUUUUUUGGUGAGGAAGAUUGGCCCUGAUCUAAUAUCUAUGUCAAUCUUCCUCUAUUUUGUACGUGGGAUGCUGCCACAGCAUGGCUUGAUGAGGGGUGUGUGGUUCCAGCCUGGGAUCCAAAAGUGCAAAUCCCAGCUUGCCAAAGCAGAGGGCGCAAACCUAACCACUACACCACCAGGCCAGCCCCUCACAUGCUCUUCUUACAAUGUGACUUUGGCGUAUCUCCUGCUACGAGUUGGGGUUCUAGGUUCCUUACCCUUGAAUCCGGGCAGGCUUGGGUCUAUAGCAGAAGUGACCUGUUACAGGUUGAACGGUGUCCCUCCCCCACCCCAAAUUUCUCUAUUGGAGUCCCAACUCUCGACACCUCAGAAUGUAACCUUGCUCAGAAAUAGGGUUGGCGACCUCACACAAAGGAGACCCCUGGACACAGACGCGCACACGGGGAGAGAGCCAUGUGAAGGUGGAGGCAGAGAUGGGGGUGACGCAGCCACAGCAACGAACCCCAAGGUCGGCCAGCAAACCACGGGAGCUGGAGAGAGGCUGGACCGGGCUCCCCCUCGGCCUCGGGGGGACCAGCUGACACCUGCAUCCUGGACCUUGAGCCGCCGGAGUUAGAAGCGAGACAGUUAGUCUCGGUGCUUUAAGCCACGCGGUUUGCGGGACUUUGUCACCACAGGCCCACCCUGUCGCUGGAACAGAGUGUCGCCACGAGGACAACAGCCUUGCUGAGUUCUCUGGGUCCUUCCAGCAAACCCUUCACCCUGCGGGUGGCCUUGGGGACCCCGAGGUUCCGCCCAGCCCUUCACACGCUGGGUUGUCCCUCCCCGGUCACGCCUGCCCACCCACCCCGCCACGGCGCCAUCCCCACGCCCCGGGAGGAAGCCGCUGGGCUCUCAGCUCCCUUUCCCCAGGACGGAAGGAAAAGUCUGAGAACUCACUUACACUCGGGAUUCAACCACGAUUCUCAUUUGACUUCAUGUUGUUUUCAAUGACUUUAUUGAGGUCAUGUUGGUUUAUAACAUUGUGCAAUUUCAGGUGCACGUUAUUACAUAUCAGCUUCGGUGUAGACUGCAUCGUGCUCACCACUGAUGGUCUGGUUUUUAUCCAUCACUAUAUAUAUGCGCCCGUUUAUCUCUCUCACCUUACCCCCAGCCCCUUUCUCUCUGGUAACCACUAAUCUGUUCUCUUUAUCCGUGUAUUUUUUAUCUUCCACAUAGGAGUGAAAUCACAUGGCGUUUGUCUUUCUCUGUCUGGCUUAUUUCGCUUAAUGUCAUUCCCUCAAGGUCCAUCCAUGUUGUUGCAAAUGGGACGAUUCUGUCCUUUUUAUGGCUGAGUAGUAUUCCACUCUCUCUCUAUACCAUGUCUUUGUUAUCCAUUCAUCCAUAGAGGGGAACUUAGGUUGUUUCCACAUCUUGGCCAUUGUGAAUAAUGCUGCUGUGAACCUAGGGGAGCAUGAGUCUCUUUCCCUGAUUCUUUUUUUUUUUUGAGGAAGAUUAGCCAAUCCUCCUCUUUUUGCUGAGGAAGACUGGCCCUGAGCUAACAGCGUGCCCAUCGUCCUCUACUUUAUACAUGGGACGCCUACCACAGCAUGGCGUGCCAAGUGGUGCCAUGUCCGCACCCGGGAUCUGAACCAGCGAACCCCGGGCCACCAAAAUGGAACAUGUGCACUUAACCCCUGCACCACCAGGCCAGCCUCUCCUUGAUUCUUAUUUUAAGAGCCUCGAGCUGGUAGGAUGGAAGGAUGGGGGUCAAGCAAGUGAGAAAUGAAGGGGAGACCAGCGGAGCCGGGAAAAUCCCAGUGUUCCGGCUCACAUUCCAGGGUCGUCUUCCUGGGGCCCCGGGGAUGUCACUCCAGACGCAGACAGGGGCCCCUGCACUGUUCAGAAUGCCGCUCGUGCAACGGCUCUCACGCUUGAGUGACUGUCCCCUCGGGGACAUUCUGGGUGCCCCAAGGCAGGAAGGGGUGCUCGGGCCUCUGGUGGGUGAAGGCCAGGGGGGUGCUGACACCCGACGGUGCACAGGCCCCCGCGGCACAGGGCGACCUGAGCCCCAGGGUCAGGAGGUGGAGGCCAGGAGCUCCCCACAGCCAACCGAACAAAGUCCAAAAUCUCCCGCACUGUCAUGGGCCGUUGAAGUCGCCUCUUCUGUGAAAUGAGCCGUGGAAGCUGAGCUCCUCCUUCAGAAUCAACCGAAAGCUGCCAGUGUUGUUUUUCCAGUGUUUGGGGCCGCGUGAUUUCCCAACACUGAUUUCCUACGUGCCAGACCCUGCUGGGUUACGAGAGACACAGAGAUGAGUAACAGAGUGUCUUACGUCUGGAUUUGGCAAGACGGUCAGAUACCAAGGGACUGAGGAUUUUUAAUCUACUCGUUCAACCGAGAAGUAUUUACUGAACACCCGUGGUGGUGAAAACGAUGGGCUUGUCCCCACCUCCGCCUCUGCCCAGCUGUGCAGCCUUGAGAAAGUGACUUAACCUCUCUGAGCCGGAUUCCUCAUCUGGAAAAUAGGGAGGAUGAGAAUAUUUCUAUCUCAUCAAGAGGUUGUGAGGAGUGAGUUAAAAGAAGCAGAGCUUGAUAACUGUUUCCUAUUUCUAUUAUAUAUUAUAAUUAGGGCAACCCACAGUCCCAGUUUGCCUGGAGUUGAGGAGUUUCCAGGGACACGGGGCUUUCAGGGCUAAAAUCAGGAAAGUUCUGGGCCCAUUGGGAUGUUGGUCAUCCUGAUAUAAUUAUAUAUUAUUACUAAUAGUAUUUAUUAUUAUUAUUAUUAUUAUUAUAGCUGAUGAUGUCUUGACAAGUGCUGCGGGGGACGGACUGUUGAAUGAGGCCAGGUCACGCUUGCAAGGAGCAUGCGGUCUGGUAGGAGAAGCAGAAGAGUUACAAAAACAGAGAAUAGAAUAAUGAGAUGGGGGCCGGCCCGGGGCCGAGUGGUUAAGUUCGUGCGCUCUGCUUCAGUGGCCCAGGGUCUCGUCAGUUCGGAUCCUGAGCACGGACAUGGCACCACUCGUCAGGCCAUGCUGAGGCGGCGUCCCACAUGCCACAACUAGAAGGACCCACAACUAAAAAUACACAACUUUGUACCAGGGGGCUUUGGGGAGAAGCAGAAAAAAAGAGGAAGAUGGGCACAGAUGUUAGCUCAGGGCUAAUCUUCCUCAGCAAAACAAAACAAAACAAAAAAAAAGAGUGUACAAUUCAGGGGCAUUUUGUACAAUUACAACGUUGAACAACCAUCACUCCUAUCUAGUUCCAGAACAUUUUCAUCCCCCUAAAAGGAAACCCCUUACUCAUUAAAUAGUCACUCCACAUUCCCCGACCCCCAUCUCGGGGCAACCCCUAAUCUACUUGCUGUCUCUCUGGAUUUGCCUGUUCUGGACAUUUCACAUAAAUGGAACCAUGUGGUCGAUGACCUUGUGUGUCCGGCUUCUUUCACUCAGUGGGAUGUUUUCAAGGUUCAUCCAUGUUGUAGCAUCUAUGAGAGCUUCGCUCCUUUUCACGGCUGCAUAAUAUUCCACCGUAUGGCUAUACCAUGUUCCAUUUAUCCAUUCACCUGUGGAUGGGCAUGUGGGUUGUUUCCACCUUUUGGCUAUCAUGGCUGGCGCUGACUCGAGUUUUUUAAGGCAUUUUUCUCCAGGAGGGCUGUCUUGAUGGGAAAUGCCCCUCCACACACCAACCUUAAAAAUAGGUCUCCACUUAAAAACAGGGGAAAAAGGCCAUUUGCACAGAUGCCAGCGUCUCCUCCAGACAGGGAGAAGCUGCCAUUUUGAGGCUGGUUCUGGUGACCUUCCGCCUCCCACUGCUUUCCUCCUGUGGGUGUCACCGGGGUUGGAGAUGCGUGGCCCGUGUGAGACUGGAAGCCCUCCCACAGGCGGGAAUUCUCAGUCUGUUCUGGGCACAUGGUGAGCACCUGGCAAACCAGUAUGUGAUAGUGAAGCACAGGCACAGAUCCCUCUCUGAGAUUUUCUAGCCUUUUUUUUUUUUUUUUUUUUUUUUUUUUUUGCUGAGGAAGAUUGGUCCUCAGCUAACAUCUAUGCUGAUCUUCCUCUGUUUUACAUCGGAUGCGGCCACAGUGUGGCUUGACGAGCAGUGCUAGGUCCACACCCAGGAUCCAAACCUAUGAACCCCAGGCCGCCAAAGCAGAGCACACAAACUCAACCACUACACCACCAGCCCAGCCCUCUUAAAAAUUUUUUAAAAUGAAAUAUUGAGCAGAUAUUUAAAAAAAUAAAAUAUAUAUAAGAUAUAAAGAAUAAGAACAAAAUAAAUAUCCAUGGGCCCCUCACUCAAUUUAAGAAAAAACUUCCGCAUCCUCUGAAGCUCCCCUGGGGGCCCUUCUCCGUCUCAUUCCCCUCCCUCGCCCCUCAGAGGUAACCACUUUGCUAAACCUUGUGUUUGUCUUCCCCUCACUUUUAAAAGAUAAUCUACAAUAUAUUUGUGUCCCUAAACUGUACCCUGUGUGGUUUCGUCCGUGUUUUGAAAUUUUAUAAGCACAUCUGUAUUGUCGUGUGUAACUGAAAGCAACUGAUUUUUCACAGCUGUAUAAUAUUCCAUUGAAUAAAUAUAUCACGAUUUAACCAG
Long non-coding RNA from Equus asinus (donkey), 7817 nucleotides. Lineage: Eukaryota; Metazoa; Chordata; Mammalia; Perissodactyla; Equidae. The record is from Ensembl.